This 117-nucleotide ribosomal RNA is filed under the name Entomacrodus stellifer stellifer. Its description in RNAcentral is "partial 16S rRNA". The record is from RNAcentral. Lineage: Eukaryota; Metazoa; Chordata; Actinopteri; Blenniiformes; Blenniidae.
UACCUAACAGCUAGCUCAACAAAUUAGAAGUUAAUAUGCCCAUAUUUAUAAACCAAAAUAAAACACAAAAUCAAAACAAAACAUUUAACCCCCUGAGUAUAGGUGAUAGAAAUAGAA